Equus caballus (horse) is the source of this 3954-nucleotide long non-coding RNA. The record is from Ensembl. Lineage: Eukaryota; Metazoa; Chordata; Mammalia; Perissodactyla; Equidae.
GGUCAAACAUAUACUACUAGUUGGUCAGAACAGAUAUUCUAUACUCUGUGCACUUUGCCUGGCAGGUGUACACUUGCCUCUGCACAGCUUUGACGCUUAUUAGACAGUUCAAGUUUGUUGUACCUGCCACACUCUCUGCAAUUUUAAGGCCUUUAAGGUAUACUAAAAGUCACUGCUUUGAGGAGCUUAGAAAAAGAAGUGAAGAGUAACUGAAUUCUGACAGUGUCUCUCUCACUUCUCUCUCUCUCUCCAAAUCCUAAGGGGUGAUCCUAGUAUAAGUUACCCCUGAAGGAGAUACACACUAUCCUCAGGCCCUAUCCAAACUUCCUUACUGGCUCCAGGCCCAUAAUGGGAAUAAAAAAACAGCUAUGUUCAGAGUAAAAUUGCAAGAAAUCCAGAAAUUAAAAAACCAAAAACACAAAAGGAACUCAAGAUCUUGCCCAAUAAAGCAGAAACUAGGUAGCACAUAAGGGGGUGGAUCCUUACCAUAUUAGAUUAGGAAGGAUGAAUUAUGUUUGGAUAGGCUCAAAUUAAUCAAUAUGAGUAUACUCCCUGUGGACUCAGGAGCAGCCCAUGUUGCAUUUCAAAGCAAUGAAAUAUGUAUUUCCUCUAAUGGGAUACUGACAAAUGUUUUUUAAAACUCUUAGAGUGUUUCUCAUGUGCAGCCAUCUUUUGUGGUGACAUGGAGCACCUGUGCAGACCCUCAGUAGAAUCUGCACACUGGGCCCCAGGCGCGCCAGGAUGGGGCUCAGGGGUUGGUGGGUCCGGCGGCUGUAAAGGAACAGGGUGGAGGUCCCAGGUUGAAAAAUUGUAAAAUUAUAAUUUUACAGCUAUAUAAUUUAACUACUUCAGUCAUCAUGUCUUUUUCUUUUUACAAAGUCAAUUUUCCUAUAUAACUCCAAAUUUUUUUCACACCAUCUAAGUAAUAUUUUAAUAUUUUCCAUAUCCAAUCCGUAUUUAAAUUUCCCCAAUUACCUCCAAAUGACUUAUGAAAAAAAUGCUAUUUUAAUCGGGAGCCAAUAGAGGAUUACCCUUUGCAUUUGACAGCAGAGUUCAGGCUUAACCCUUAACCUCUUCAGGCUCGGAGGACCCUGGGCAGGAGAGAUUUAAGAACACCGUCCCCCCGCUUUCGCGGAAAGGCCAAGAGUGACUUGAAAUGUAGACGCGGAGGCCUAUGGGAAAUGCAGUUUUAAAUAGGUGAGGUUCACCGCCUGGACUCUGGGAAGGGGACGCCACGCUCCUUCUGCGCAUGUGCAGCCGUAGCCUCCUCGUUUGUCUUCUCAGGACUCCAGAGAACCGUUGGGGAACUUUGGGGUGUGCUCGGAAAAUGCAGGGUGCGCACCUAGGGCGAGGGACUAGCUGGGAAGGGUGUGCCUGUGCUUGGGGAUGGGAGCAGGAAGUGUCUGGGACCUCGUCGCCCCCCGCGGCGGUGUAUAAACCCGGGCGGGCCGUCAGAGUGGUUAAGGCCGAUGGGGGAGACCCCGGCCCUCGGGAUCCCGGGGCGCAGGUGUUCGGGGCGGUCCGGGAUGCCCGAGGAUCGUGUGACCAGCCCGCCUGCAGCCCGACCGGAGAGAAGCCCGUGUCGGCGGCGGUGGGUGCGGGAGGGAGGAGUGCGUUUAUCAGGCGGACGGUGACCCGUGGGUCUGCGGUGGAGCCCGAGCUCUGGAGCACUACAGGCCCGGUCAGUGCCAGCUCUGUCACCUGUAAGCAGGGGCGACAGAAGGAACCUGGGCGAGAGUCAGGGUUCUCAUCUAUAAAUAUUAAUAAUGAUUGUUUCACGGCGGCGUUUGGAAACAUAGAUCACUAUUUUAGACAAGUGCCAGGUAGGAAGCCUUAAGUAAGUGACAACUGCUGUUAUAGUUAGAGGACACUUUGUUUUUUGACUGGAUAGUUUAAUGUACCCUGACAACCACUUCACCAGAAACCGAGGCUCGGGUCGGUGGCCCGAUGUGCUCGAGUCAGGAGCUCCCAGCCAGGGAAUUUGGAUUCGAGGGCAGGUGUGCUUCGCUUCAGUCUCAGGCUUUGUCUGAUGUCACACCUGCCCAAGACUGGCAUUACAGCCUUCACAGCACUUAGGAACAUGGCCUGUCCCUGCAUCCCCAGGGAUGUAAAGGAAAGGAUGUGGAUGGAAUCCCACCGUGUGUCACAUGCAUCCUGGGAUUUCUAGUGUCUCUUCAGGUCCCUUGGGUCAGACAGAGGUGCCUGGCCCCCUCUGCAUUGUCAUGCUUUCUGUCCUUGAAGUCUAACGUUAUAAUGAAUUCCAAGAGUCAGGCUUUUUGCCCCUAAGAUGAAUUUAUUUCUCAGAUCCAUGUCCCAGUUGCCUUGAAACAAACCAGCCCUUGUGAGGCAGGAAGCAGGGGGCCUCUGUGAGGGAGUCUUACCUGGAAGAGAGCGCCCCUCUGACCUUAGACCUCUCUCCAGAGCUUCAGAGCAGAGACAAGAGCCCAGAAAGGAGCAGAUGCUAGAUUUGCAAGAUCAGAAGCAGGUCUUGAUCCUCCUGCCCAGAAUGGGCCAGACUUGAUGAUGAUGCCACCUUCAGGAGCCACCACACUGUGUGACAGUGGGGCAUUUGGGCCGUCCCUGGGAAGUACAGGUGAGCUUGGGUGGCCCAGGGGCAGGCUGCUCAGGAAAGGCUGCUUUGUUGGAGAGCCGUGAGGGCAAGGUCUGGGGGUAAGGGACAACCAGGCAGAGGGAGGAAGUUCUGUCUCCAGUCCCCUUAAAUGGCCCCCGCUAUUUACAGAUGCGCUGCUGUCACACAUGUCCACCACCACAUGUGACAUUAGUGACGUUAUCCUGAUCUCACAGGAUCCAAGAAUGAUGAUCUGUGAAGAGUUUUCCAAGGUCACCUACUUCUAACUCUUUUGAAAGAUUUAAAGACAUGGGGCCUGAAAAUUUCAGUGACUUGUCCAGGGAAACGCAGUUUGUGACAGUUCACUCUCUCACAGCUGAACCACAGUCCUCUGUACUCGCCCAGGAGCCACAGAAAGUGAACAUCCCUCAGGUAUGAAGGUCUUCUUGAGCAUUUCCUGUUUGGGGUGUCUUGUGGUGAUGAACUACCUCAGCUUUUGUUUAUGUGGGAAAGUUUUUAUUUCUCCACCAUAUCUGUAGGAUAUUUUUCCCUGGAUAGAGUAUUCUCGGCUGAAGGUUUUUGUCUUUCAGAAUUUUGAAUAUCUGAUUCUACCUUCUCAUAGCCUGUAAAGAUUCUGCUGAGAAAUCUCCUGAAAGUUUGAUAUGGUCUUUGUAAGUUAUUUUCUUCUGCCUUGCUGCCUUUAAAACUAUUUCUUCUUUGUCACUGACUUUUGCCAGUUUUACUACUCUAUGCCUUGGAGUAGGUCUUUUUACAUUGAUGUAAUCAGAAGUUCUGUUAGCGUCUCUUACUUGUAAUUCCAGCUCCUUUCCCAGGUUUGAACAGACUUUCUGCUCCUUUCUCCCUCCCUUCUCCCUCUAUAAUACCCAUAGUUUUUAUGUUGCAUUUCCUAAUUGAAUCAGAUAUUUCUCAGAGAAUUUCUUCGUUUCUUUUUAGUCUUAAUUCUCUCUCCUCCUCCAUCUGAAGCCUUUCUAUAUUUCAGUCCUCCAGAUUGCUAAUUCCGUCUUCCAUAAUGUCAGCUCUGUAAUUCAGGGUAUCCAGAUUUUUCUUUAUCUCAUUGUGUUUUUCAUCUCCAACCUUUCUGAUUGGUUUCUCUUUAUAGGGUCAAUCUCUUUUGUGAAGUAUUCCCUCUGUUUAUUAAUUUUAUUCCUGAUUUAAUUGAACUGUCUGAAUUUUCUUGUAACUCGUUGAGUUUUUUAAUGUUAGCUAUUUUGAAUUCUCUCUCGUUUACAUUGUAAAUUUGUGUGCCUUCAGGAUUGAUUUCUAGGUGCUUUUCAUUUUCCUUCUGGUCUGGACUAUUAAUAUAUUUCUUCAUACUAUUUGAUGGGGUUGGUUUGUGCCUUCACAUAGAUAGUAUCUGGUUGCAG